AUUGAACGCUGGCGGCAUGCCUUACACAUGCAAGUCGAACGGCAGCGGGGGAGAAGCUUGCUUUUCCUGCCGGCGAGUGGCGAACGGGUGAGUAAUACAUCGGAACGUGCCCUGUAGUGGGGGAUAACUAGUCGAAAGAUUAGCUAAUACCGCAUACGACCUGAGGGUGAAAGUGGGGGACCGUAAGGCCUCAUGCUAUAGGAGCGGCCGAUGUCUGAUUAGCUAGUUGGUGGGGUAAAGGCCUACCAAGGCGACGAUCAGUAGCUGGUCUGAGAGGACGAUCAGCCACACUGGGACUGAGACACGGCCCAGACUCCUACGGGAGGCAGCAGUGGGGAAUUUUGGACAAUAGGCGAAAGCCUGAUCCAGCAAUGCCGUGUGUGUGAAGAAGGCCUUCGGGUUGUAAAGCACUUUUGUCCGGAAAGAAAUGGCUCUGGUUAAUACCUGGGGUCGAUGACGGUACCGGAAGAAUAAGGACCGGCUAACUACGUGCCAGCAGCCGCCGCAG
Molecule: ribosomal RNA, 508 nt
Filed under: uncultured bacterium
Lineage: Bacteria
Description: partial 16S ribosomal RNA
Rfam family: Bacterial small subunit ribosomal RNA
Source: RNAcentral